GUUUAUCAAAUUGAACCCCAAAGUUUAACCACAAAUAUGUCGGAUGAAGACAAAGCCGCAAAGACGGUAAUAUGUUGCUCACCAAUCUUUUCCAAAUCAUAGGGAAACAAAACUAACUACAUCACCCAUUCGUUUAUAGCAAAAGCACAACCUUCACUAUAAAUCAAUAACCUCUUUAAUUACAUUUCAAAUGGCCCAACUACGUAAACUAUACUAGAAUUGAAAUGGUGUCCAAACUCAUUGAAAGCCUUUUAACUUCAAGCAGAGAUUAAACAGAAGUUUAACAAUUUUUAACCAUUCAAUGAAGGUAUAAUACAAAGGAGUCGAGAACUCACCUAAUCGAACACUAAAGAAUUAGCAGAAAAAGAGUAUUAUUUGGAGAUCUUCUGUUAGCCCAAGAUCGUUAACUAAGAUUGGAGGAUUCAACUAAAGAAGAGGAAGUUUGAAAGAAAAGAGAGAUUUUUGGAAGGAGAACUUUGUUAUUGGAAGAAGGUUUUCUUGAAU
This 504-nucleotide long non-coding RNA is filed under the name Nicotiana benthamiana. RNAcentral's name for it is "long non-coding RNA (NBEN_LNC030752)". Lineage: Eukaryota; Viridiplantae; Streptophyta; Magnoliopsida; Solanales; Solanaceae. The record is from RNAcentral.